GAUGAACGCUGGCGGCGUGCCUAAUACAUGCAAGUCGAGCGAACGGACGAGAAGCUUGCUUCUCUGAUGUUAGCGGCGGACGGGUGAGUAACACGUGGAUAACCUACCUAUAAGACUGGGAUAACUUCGGGAAACCGGAGCUAAUACCGGAUAAUAUUUUGAACCGCAUGGUUCAAAAGUGAAAGACGGUCUGGCUGUCACUUAUAGAUGGAUCCGCACUGCAUUAGCUAGUUGGUAAGGUAACGGCUUACCAAGGCAACGAUGCAUAGCCGACCUGAGAGGGGGAUCGGCCACACGAGAACUGAGACACGGUCCAGACACCGACGGGAGGCAGCAGUAGGGAAUCUUACGCAAUGGGCGAGAGCCUGACGGAGCAACGCCGCGGGAGUGAUGAAGGUCUUCGGAUCGGAAAACUCUGUUAUCAGUGAAGAACAUAUGUGUAAGUAACUGUGCACAUCUUGACGGUACCUAAUCAGAAAGCCACGGCUAACUACGUG
This 497-nucleotide ribosomal RNA is filed under the name uncultured bacterium. RNAcentral describes it as "partial 16S ribosomal RNA". It matches the Rfam family "Bacterial small subunit ribosomal RNA", at positions 28 to 507 of the family's 1533-position model. The record is from RNAcentral.